Molecule: long non-coding RNA, 1033 nt
Filed under: Numida meleagris (helmeted guineafowl)
Lineage: Eukaryota; Metazoa; Chordata; Aves; Galliformes; Numididae
Description: lncRNA (ENSNMEG00000019594.1)
Source: RNAcentral
CUUUUUCUGUGUCUGAGGAAGCCAGCUCUCCACUACCUUUUAUCAGAGAGGAAACACUCUCCUUGACCUGUCUCCUCCUGUCUAUGUACCUGCAGAACCCCUUCUUGUUAUUUUUCACAUCCACAGCCAAGUUCAGCUCUAUGCGCACCUUGGCUUUCCUGUUCUUAUCUCUACACAUGCGGACAACAGCCCUGUAUUCCUCCCAGGCUAUACAACCCUGCUUCCACCUCAUGUAUAUUUCCCUCUUUUCCCUCAGUUUAAGCUGCAGGUCCUUGCUCAACUACAUCGCUCGCCCACCUCCCCUGCUCAACUUCUUCUGCUGGGGGAUGGAGAGCUGUUGUGCUCUCAGAAGGGUGUCUUUAAAGAGCUGCCAGCUCUUCUCUGUUCCUAUGCCCUUAAGGACAGUUUCCCAGGGGAUCCCACCCCGCAGUUGCUUGAGCAGCCGGAAUUUUGCUCUCUUGAAGCACAGGGUCCUGACUCUGCUUUUUGCCAGGCCUACAUUCUUCAAGAUCACAAACUCCACCAGGGCAUUAUCACUACAGCCCAGGCUGGCUCCAAUCUUAACCCGUCUAAUGCUCUCCUCCGCAUUGGUGAGCACCAGGUCCAGUAAGGCUUCACCUCGUGUCAGUCCAUCUAAUACCUGGAUCAGGAAGUUAUCCUCAACAGAUUGCAGGAAUCUCCUGGAUUGUCUGCUGCCCGCCGUGCCGCUAACCCAGCAGAUAUCCGGGUGGUUGAAAUCCCCCAUCAGGACAAGAGCCUGCGAGCGUGUCACUUCCUGCAGCUGAAGCAAGAAGGCCCCAUCAAUAGACUCCCCCCGAUCAGGUGGCCUGUAGCAGACCCCAACCACUAGAUGCCCUUUACUGGACCGAUCCCUGAUUUUAACCCAUCAGUCAGAGACUACUGAAGUUUGCAGCUGACAGUAAGAUAAACUGUAAAUGGGCCAGGUUCUUACAUACGUUAUCUGGUUCAUUUUACAUCAAUGACUCUGAAUGUUUGUAGUGGGUAUCCUGACUACUAAAAGAUUAUAAUCCAA